GUUGAUAAUAGGUUAUUAACAGGUUACCUCUAUGUACCGUUGGUUAGGGUUAGAGUCAGUAAUAGGUUGAUAAUAGGUUAUUAACAGGUUACCUCUAUGUACCGUUGGUUAGGGUUAGGGUCAGUAAUAGGUUGAUAAUAGGUUAUUAACAGGUUACCUCUAUGUACCGUUGGUUAGGGUUAUAGUCAGUAAUAGGUUGAUAAUAGGUUAUUAACAGGUUACCUAUAUGUAUCGUUGGUUAGGGUUAGGGUCAGUAAUAGGUUGAUAAUAGGUUAUUAACAGGUUAUGUCUAUGUACCGUUGGUUAGGGUUAGGGUCAGUAAUAGGUUGAUAAUAGGUUAUUAACAGGUUACCUCUAUGUACCGUUGGUUAGGGUUAGGGUUAGUAAUAGGUUGAUAAUAGGUUAUUAACAGGUUACCUCUAUGUACCGUUGGUUAGGGUUAGUAAUAUGUUGAUAAUAGGUUAUUAACAGGUUACCUCUAUGUACCGUUGGUUAGGGUUAGGGUUAGUAAUAGGUUAUUAACAGGUCACCUCUAUGUACCGUUGGUUAGGGUUAGUAAUAGGUGGAUAAUAGGUUAUUAACAGGUUACCUCUAUGUAUCGUUGGUUAGGGUUAGGGUUAGUAAUAGGUUAUUAACAGGUCACCUCUAUGUAUCGUUGGUUAGGGUUAGGGUUAGUAAUAGGUUGAUAAAUGGUUAUUAACAGGUUACCUCUAUGUAUCGUUGGUUAGGGUUAGGGUCAGUAAUAGGUUAUUAACAGGUUACCUCUAUGUACCGUUGGUUAGGGUUAGUAAUAGGUUGAUAAUAGGUUAUUAACAGACGACCUCUAUGUAUCUGUUGCCCAUGUGGU
Molecule: long non-coding RNA, 847 nt
Filed under: Salmo salar (Atlantic salmon)
Lineage: Eukaryota; Metazoa; Chordata; Actinopteri; Salmoniformes; Salmonidae
Description: lncRNA (ENSSSAG00000108881.1, ENSSSAG00000110624.1)
Source: RNAcentral